CAAUAGCGUAUAUUAAAGUUGUUGCGGUAAAAAAGCUCGUAGUUGGAUUUCUGCGGGGAACGACCGGUCCACUCAACGAGUGCGUAUCUGGUUCGGUCUCUGCAUCCUCUCGAAAGACGUUUCUGCGCUUGAUUGCGUGGUUCGGAUCUCGGGACUUUUACUUUGAGGAAAUUAGAGUGUUCACGGCAGGCUAUCGCCAGAAUACAUUAGCAUGGAAUAAUACUAUAGGAUCUGAAUCUUAUUUUGUUGGUUCCUUUGAUUUAGAUAAUGACUAAUAGGGACAAUUGGGGGCAUUCGUAUGAUGACGUCAGAGGUGGAAUUCUUAGAUUGUCAUCCGACGAACGACUGCGAAAGCAUUUGCCAAGGAUGUUUNCAUUGA
This 379-nucleotide ribosomal RNA is filed under the name uncultured eukaryote. RNAcentral describes it as "partial 18S ribosomal RNA". It matches the Rfam family "Eukaryotic small subunit ribosomal RNA", at positions 592 to 976 of the family's 1831-position model. The record is from RNAcentral.